This 440-nucleotide ribosomal RNA is filed under the name uncultured bacterium. RNAcentral's name for it is "partial 16S ribosomal RNA". It matches the Rfam family "Bacterial small subunit ribosomal RNA", at positions 338 to 795 of the family's 1533-position model. The record is from RNAcentral.
CCUACGGUAGGCAGCAGUGGGGGAUAUUGCACAAUGGGGGAAACCCUGAUGAACCGACGCCGCGUGAAUGAAGAAGUAUUUCGGUAUGUAAAGCUCUAUCAGCAGGGAAGAAAAUGACAGUACCUGACCAAGAAGCCCCGGCUAACUACGUGCAAGCAGCCGAGGUAAUACGUAGGGGGCAAGCGUUAUCCGGAUUUACUGGGAGUAAAGGGAGCGUAGACGGUUAUGUAAGUCUGGAGUGAAAGCCCGGGGCCCAACCCCGGGGCGGCUUUGGAAAAGGUGUAACUAGAGUACAGGAGGGGCAGGCGGAAUUCUUGGUGUAGCGGUGAAAUGCGUAGAUAUCAGGAGGAACACCGGCGGCGAAGGCGGCCUGCUGGACUGAAACUGACGUUGAGGCUCGAAAGCGUGGGGAGCAAACAGGAUUAGAUACCCGAGUAGUC